CCUACGGGAGGCAGCAGUGGGGAAUAUUGGGCAAUGGGCGCAAGCCUGAACCAGCAAAGCCGCGUGAAGGAAGAAGGCUUUCGGGUUGUAAACUUCUUUUAAGAGGGAAGAGAAGAAGACGGUACCUCUUGAAUAAGCCACGGCUAACUACGUGCCAGCAGCCGCGGUAAUACGUAGGUGGCAAGCGUUGUCCGGAUUUACUGGGUGUAAAGGGCGUGCAGCCGGGAAGUCAAGUCAGAUGUGAAAUCCCGCGGCUCAACCGCGGAACUGCAUUUGAAACUGUUUUUCUUGAGUACCGGAGAGGUCAGCGGAAUUCCUUGUGUAGCGGUGAAAUGCUUAGAUAUAAGGAAGAACACCAGUUGCGAAGGCAGAUGACUGGACGGCAACUGACGGUGAGGCGCGAAAGCGUGGGUAUCAAACAGGAUUAGAUACCCUAGUAGUC
Molecule: ribosomal RNA, 442 nt
Filed under: uncultured bacterium
Lineage: Bacteria
Description: partial 16S ribosomal RNA
Rfam family: Bacterial small subunit ribosomal RNA
Source: RNAcentral